GAAGAUAAGAAUAAGAUUUAUGCCUGCACAAUUGCUAAACACGAGCAAAGCAUUGCAGUUUUACGAGACGAAGCGAUGAAUGCUCAGCAACUGCUUGCAAGCGCAGAGAUAAAAGUUUCGAUGCUUCAAGAAGAAAAGCAACUACUUCAAGAUCUUGAAAAAAGCCUUACAGUUGAAAGAAAUGCAUUGGUAAGCGAGCGACGUAGCCAAGGCCUUCUUCAUGCCAACGCAAAUUUUAAUUAAAGGUGUAACAGUUUGCAUGAAUAUUUACGCCGCCCAUCACAAUCCGGAAUUUUUCCCUGAUCCGGAAUCUUUCAAACCGGAUCGAUUCCUGCCGGAGAACAGCGUCGACGACAUCUGUACGCUUUUAUUCCAUUUAGCGGUGGCGUCCGCACUUGCAUCGCGCAAAAAUACGCCAUGAUUGAGCUGAAAGUUUGUCUGGCCAACAUUUUACGGAAAUCGAAAUUUUCUCUUUCCGAUCCAUCGGCAUGAAAAAAAAAUAAAUAAGUUUGCAAUGGCGUUGCUGCAACUUCACGCGCCAUUGGCGGAGAAGACUCAUCCGAAUGCCAUAUGCUGAAUGCCAUAUCGCCCUUUCCGGAUGCUUCCGAGACGCGGACGUCUUUCGAAUUUGAUUAUUCAGCCCUGGCGUUGCCCGUUCCGCUGGAAUUCGCUGACACGGACCGUUUGCAAGAUGUGCCUAUCGACGGCUUUGAUAAAGAGACUGAAGGCUGCGAUGUUCCGACUAUACCGGUGGAGAGUUUAAAUGUUAUAAGUUAUAUGUUAUACGUCGCAUGUUAUAAGUAACGUUGAUGAAAUAAAUAAAAUAAAGUUG
Daphnia pulicaria is the source of this 832-nucleotide long non-coding RNA. RefSeq lists it as uncharacterized. The record is from RefSeq and is a predicted model, not a curated record. The transcript is spliced from 3 exons. NCBI's taxonomy places the organism in Eukaryota, Metazoa, Arthropoda, Branchiopoda, Diplostraca, Daphniidae.